This 359-nucleotide long non-coding RNA is filed under the name Fukomys damarensis (Damara mole-rat). Its description in RNAcentral is "lncRNA (ENSFDAG00000027533.1)". The record is from RNAcentral. Lineage: Eukaryota; Metazoa; Chordata; Mammalia; Rodentia; Bathyergidae.
GUGGCUCCCCGCCCGUGGAGGAGGCAGAUCCCCCAGCAGCUGGGGCAGGGCCGGCCGAGGAGCAAGACUCGCCACCCCGCCACCCGCAACCCCAUCAGGGCCCCCACUGCGCCACUGCUGGAGCCAGAGGCCCAGAAAAGGGGGUCCUCGGCUGCGGAUCAUACAGCCCCUUGGGGUGCAGGCCUGGUCUCAGUGUCCAGGCGUAGCUGUGCGAAGUUCCCGGCCCCACGGAACCGGCUGGAACCCCACGGAUCCCUGACGAUCGGACCAACGGACAGACCCUGGAGGGCAGGCCCAUGGACCCCUUCAGCACCAAGAGCCUGGCGGCGCAGGCGCAGAAGAAGGUCCUGAGCAAGAUG